CCCGCACAAGCGGUGGAGUAUGUGGUUUAAUUCGAUGCAACGCGAAGAACCUUACCUGGUCUUGACAUCCCGGAGACCCUUAGGAAACUAGGGGUGCUUCCAUCUGGAAGAAUCUGAAGACAGGUGCUGCAUGGCUGUCGUCAGCUCGUGUCGUGAGAUGUUGGGUUAAGUCCCGCAACGAGCGCAACCCUUGCCUUUAGUUGCCAGCAGUUCGGCUGGGCACUCUAAAGGGACUGCCGGUGUUAAACCGGAGGAAGGUGGGGAUGACGUCAAGUCCUCAUGGCCUUUAUGACCAGGGCUACACACGUACUACAAUGGCCGAUACAAAGGGCAGCGACACUGCGAGGUGAAGCCAAUCCCGUAAAAUCGGUCUCAGUCCGGAUUGGAGUCUGCAACUCGACUCCAUGAAGUUGGAAUCGCUAGUAAUCGUGGAUCAGCAUGCCACGGUGAAUACGUUCCCGGGCCUU
This 467-nucleotide ribosomal RNA is filed under the name uncultured Desulfobulbus sp. RNAcentral's name for it is "bacterial SSU rRNA". It matches the Rfam family "Bacterial small subunit ribosomal RNA", at positions 920 to 1382 of the family's 1533-position model. The record is from RNAcentral. Lineage: Bacteria; Pseudomonadati; Thermodesulfobacteriota; Desulfobulbia; Desulfobulbales; Desulfobulbaceae.